Molecule: long non-coding RNA, 12753 nt
Filed under: Brassica napus (rape)
Lineage: Eukaryota; Viridiplantae; Streptophyta; Magnoliopsida; Brassicales; Brassicaceae
Description: long non-coding RNA (BNAP_LNC003221)
Source: RNAcentral
CUCUACACAAACAAAACUGGUUCGCUAAGAGCUCCGACAAUGGCUGUCUGCGCAACUCACUCCUCUCUCAUGAUAGCAUACGCCGCAUCCAAGGACCUUACAAUUCCGUCUCUUUUCUCAUCUGCCAACCCAAGACCCAACAAGUUGAGCGUCGCACUCUAUCCCCCUCUUGUUCUCCUUGCGGGGAGAAGAGCUUCGAACCCAUCCUUCCCGGUGGUUGUCUCAGCCGUAGCCGCAGAGGCUGAUGUCGACACGGAGGACGCGGAGCAGAACGAAGCCACCUCCACCACCGCCACAGCCGUCCUCGAUCCGCCAAAGCCUAAGAAAGGAAAAGCAGCUUUGCUUCUCAAGAGAGAUAGAGUAUGCUUUGCUUAUCCAUCCUUUCCUUUACAAUCCCAAGCUCUAAACAUGAUUUUUUUUUCUUUCUAUGACGAUGAUGAUUCUUUUAUGUUUGUUUGUUUGUUACUCUCAUUUGGCAGACAAGGUCUAAGAGGUUUCUGGAAAUCCAAAAGCUAAGGGAAACCAAAAAGGAGUACGACGUCAAGACUGCUAUAUCUUUGCUUAAGCAAACCGCUAACACAAGGUUUGUGGAGUCGGUCGAAGCCCAUUUCCGUCUCAACAUCGAUCCUAAGUACAAUGAUCAGCAGCUGCGAGCAACCGUAUGGUUUUUUUUAUUUUGCUUUACAUAUAUGUAUAGCUUUGUGUUUCGUUGAAAUUUAAAUCUGAACGCAUUGUCUUUGGUAGGUGAGCCUUCCUAAAGGAACAGGGCAAACUGUUAAAGUGGCUGUUCUUGCACAAGGUAACUAAUUGCCCCCCCUCCCCUCCCCUCCCCUCCCCUCCCAAAUGCUAAGUUAGUCGGACAGUUCAUUCCAAGGGACUCUGUAGAAAAUACUUUGUGUGGUUGACCUUCUAUUAUUUUGUUUGGAUGGAUUGGUGUAUUUCUAUAGAGAAAAAUGUGCUGGGAUCAUUCUUUUCCUUUCUUUCUGUUUCUCUAAGUUAUUUCCAUGAUGAAUAAUAUCCAGGUGAGAAGGUCGAUGAAGCAAAAAAUGCAGGGGCAGAUAUUGUGGGCAGUGAUGAUUUGAUCGAACAGAUAAAAGGAGGGUUCAUGGAGUUCGAUAAGUUAAUUGCAUCCCCGGAUAUGAUGGUCAAGGUGUGUUUUUACUCAUUUGUUAAUAACAAAAAUAAACUUGAAUAGCUGUUACGACAUUCAUUCUUGGCAAAGAAUGUGACAUGAGACAAAUGUUGCUCGUCAUCUCUUAUUACUAAACCUUCUUUAACUUGGGCGGUUAGGUUGCUGGCCUGGGAAAGAUUCUUGGUCCACGAGGACUCAUGCCAAAUCCCAAGGCUGGUACCGUCACAGCUAACAUUCCCCAGGUUAGCCUACUACUUACUCAGGCAGGCAAAAUCAUCUUCGGGUAAUCAAUCAUAGUAUAAUGAUGAUAUGCAUAAAUCUAUCUCAGGCUAUAGAAGAGUUCAAGAAGGGAAAAGUAGAAUUCAGAGCAGACAAAACUGGGAUUGUUCACAUUCCGUUUGGGAAAGUGAAUUUCACAGAGGAAGACCUGCUCGUAAACUUCCUUGCAGCAGUGGUAGGCUGAUUCUCCCCCAUUUAAUAACGUUGUUUAUCUCUUGUGCUGCUGAAUAAAAAGAGUGGAACGUAAAUGCAGAAAUCGGUGGAGACAAACAAGCCAAAGGGAGCAAAAGGAGUGUACUGGAAAAGCGCACACAUAUGUUCGUCAAUGGGGCCAUCCAUCAAGUUGAACAUAAGGGAGAUGAUAGACUUCAAGCCAUAAAUAACCAGCUUAGAAAGAGAUAGAUUGCUAUCAUUAUCCCCUUUGUGGAUUAGGUAGUGCUCUCACUUCGCCUUCUCUACACAAACAAAACUGGUUCGCUAAGAGCUCCGACAAUGGCUGUCUGCGCAACUCACUCCUCUCUCAUGAUAGCAUACGCCGCAUCCAAGGACCUUACAAUUCCGUCUCUUUUCUCAUCUGCCAACCCAAGACCCAACAAGUUGAGCGUCGCACUCUAUCCCCCUCUUGUUCUCCUUGCGGGGAGAAGAGCUUCGAACCCAUCCUUCCCGGUGGUUGUCUCAGCCGUAGCCGCAGAGGCUGAUGUCGACACGGAGGACGCGGAGCAGAACGAAGCCACCUCCACCACCGCCACAGCCGUCCUCGAUCCGCCAAAGCCUAAGAAAGGAAAAGCAGCUUUGCUUCUCAAGAGAGAUAGAGUAUGCUUUGCUUAUCCAUCCUUUCCUUUACAAUCCCAAGCUCUAAACAUGAUUUUUUUUUCUUUCUAUGACGAUGAUGAUUCUUUUAUGUUUGUUUGUUUGUUACUCUCAUUUGGCAGACAAGGUCUAAGAGGUUUCUGGAAAUCCAAAAGCUAAGGGAAACCAAAAAGGAGUACGACGUCAAGACUGCUAUAUCUUUGCUUAAGCAAACCGCUAACACAAGGUUUGUGGAGUCGGUCGAAGCCCAUUUCCGUCUCAACAUCGAUCCUAAGUACAAUGAUCAGCAGCUGCGAGCAACCGUAUGGUUUUUUUUAUUUUGCUUUACAUAUAUGUAUAGCUUUGUGUUUCGUUGAAAUUUAAAUCUGAACGCAUUGUCUUUGGUAGGUGAGCCUUCCUAAAGGAACAGGGCAAACUGUUAAAGUGGCUGUUCUUGCACAAGGUAACUAAUUGCCCCCCCUCCCCUCCCCUCCCCUCCCCUCCCAAAUGCUAAGUUAGUCGGACAGUUCAUUCCAAGGGACUCUGUAGAAAAUACUUUGUGUGGUUGACCUUCUAUUAUUUUGUUUGGAUGGAUUGGUGUAUUUCUAUAGAGAAAAAUGUGCUGGGAUCAUUCUUUUCCUUUCUUUCUGUUUCUCUAAGUUAUUUCCAUGAUGAAUAAUAUCCAGGUGAGAAGGUCGAUGAAGCAAAAAAUGCAGGGGCAGAUAUUGUGGGCAGUGAUGAUUUGAUCGAACAGAUAAAAGGAGGGUUCAUGGAGUUCGAUAAGUUAAUUGCAUCCCCGGAUAUGAUGGUCAAGGUGUGUUUUUACUCAUUUGUUAAUAACAAAAAUAAACUUGAAUAGCUGUUACGACAUUCAUUCUUGGCAAAGAAUGUGACAUGAGACAAAUGUUGCUCGUCAUCUCUUAUUACUAAACCUUCUUUAACUUGGGCGGUUAGGUUGCUGGCCUGGGAAAGAUUCUUGGUCCACGAGGACUCAUGCCAAAUCCCAAGGCUGGUACCGUCACAGCUAACAUUCCACAGGUUAGCCUACUACUUACUCAGGCAGGCAAAAUCAUCUUCGGGUAAUCAAUCAUAGUAUAAUGAUGAUAUGCAUAAAUCUAUCUCAGGCUAUAGAAGAGUUCAAGAAGGGAAAAGUAGAAUUCAGAGCAGACAAAACUGGGAUUGUUCACAUUCCGUUUGGGAAAGUGAAUUUCACAGAGGAAGACCUGCUCGUAAACUUCCUUGCAGCAGUGGUAGGCUGAUUCUCCCCCAUUUAAUAACGUUGUUUAUCUCUUGUGCUGCUGAAUAAAAAGAGUGGAACGUAAAUGCAGAAAUCGGUGGAGACAAACAAGCCAAAGGGAGCAAAAGGAGUGUACUGGAAAAGCGCACACAUAUGUUCGUCAAUGGGGCCAUCCAUCAAGUUGAACAUAAGGGAGAUGAUAGACUUCAAGCCAUAAAUAACCACAUUUGUGUUUUUUUUUUUGUGAGUGUAGGCGAACACCAUUAGUUAUCUCUUGUAUACCUCACCGGUUGUAUCACCUUAACUCUGAUAAGACCAUUUGCUUUAUUGAUUAUUACUGUUAAAAUUGCGAGGCCUCUAUUGCCUUAAUGCCUGCCUUCACCACUGGAGAUGAGAGAACACACGAGUCUUUUUUUUUUUAAAUAAAAAAAAAAACAAAUAUCCUUGAAAUUGGAAGAUAAAAUGAGAUAAUUUCAUGAGGCCGUUACGUUGCGACGUGGCAGCGUUUUCUGCCAAGGAUACAAAGCUCGUGAGUGAGUGAAAAGGAAGGUUCGUAAUCCUUCCUUGCAAUCAAUCGAUCAUUCAUGGCGGAGAACUGCAUAGUUUCGGUCAACCCUAAACCCUCAAAGGGAUUAUCCUCUAAGCUUCUCGAUCUUGUGGAGAGAGUUGUUGUGAAGCUCAUGCACGAUGCUUCUCUGCCUCUCCACUACCUCUCCGGCAACUUCGCUCCCGUGCGGGAUGAAACUCCUCCGGUGAAGGAUCUCCCCGUCGUCCAUGGAUUUCUUCCAGUAAGUGAGCUCUUUAAUUUACACACUCCAUAUCCUUUUCCGAGGAAGGUUCUAAUUCGUCUUUUUUAUAUUUCCCAGGAGCCAAAUAAGAAAAAGAAUACUUAAAUAGAGACAGCGGUCAUGUAAAAGAAAAGAAAGCCAUCAGCAAUUUGAUAAAGAGAAACUUCGUAGCAGUUUCCAAUAUCGUUGUCAAGAAAUGUGGAGGCUAAUCUUCUUUAUUAUUCAUGUGAAGACGACACUGAGAGAGAUAAGGCAAUUGACCUUUAUAUAGAUAAACAAAGAAACAAAUGAAGAAGUUAACCUCCACCAAAUCGUAAAUGUGUCCACCAAUACAUUAUUCUCAACUCUUUUUGCUGCUCCUAGUAGCUUAGGUGUUGAGAGCAGCAGAGACGGAAUGCUUCUGCAAUCUUGGAGAACAGAAGAACUGAAGCAAGAAUUGAUGAAUGGGGACGACAAAUUUAUUAUAUAGAAGCGCACACAUGUCACACAACACCAAGCUUAACAUAUCCAAACGAAUGAGCUUUUGAAUAUAACAAACUAAGCAUGGCACUAGUAACUUGAAACUUUUCACCCACUAAAACUUGGAGAAUUGUUUGUAACUCCAUUUAUUUUGGUUUAAAAGAAAAAGAAGAAGAUCCUUGGCUCUGUGGUUGCUAUUACGUUUGGCCGGAAUCAGUGAAACCAGCCACCUGCUGUCCUCCGGGAUUGAGCUAUCCAGACCAAUCCCUCAAUCAGAGAGCACUUGGCCUUGAACAUUCAUUCCUUGAAUUCACGCUCUUCUGUACUUGUAUCGCGUUCUAGCGAGGCCCAUCGGACCUGAGACCGAAGCGGGUCGCUAAUAAUAACAGGCCCAGUUAUGUGUUCGUCACGUGGCAAACAGACAACCGUAGAUUAUAUAUCAUUAAUUAAUUAAUUACUGGGAUAAAAUUUAUUUUUCUUUCAUAGCCCCCGAGCGGAUCGGAGCAACCUUACUUGCUUGCUAGCUUAAUCGCAAAACGGCGAAGCGAGCAAGAAUCAUUGUCUCAUACUCACAUCCCUUUAGGUAUCUGUCUUCACUCUUGUAUUUCUCUUUUUAUGCUUAUUUUGGGGGUUUAGGGUUUUUCUGAUGACAGAUCUGAUUAUUUGAACUUUUAUUUUAUUUAUGGUUUCGAUAGAGCCUUUGCGGUUAUCUUCAGGGUCGCUUUUGUAUUGUCGGACUGCUUCAAAUCUCAUGUUAACUUGAUAGUGUUCUUGAUGCCCCCACCUCCCUAAAUCAUGAUAGCAUAUCUUUAACUUCUUGCUUUGCUUGUGGUACUAGCAAUGAGUAGUAGUAAGAAGAAGAAUCCAACUGUAUUCCUGGAUGUCUCCAUUGGCGGGGAUCCCCUUGAACGUAUCGUGAUUGAGGUAUUACAUCCACACUCUCUGUGCCUUUCUUUUCCUUGUCUUAAAGUUUCUCUCUCAAUUGCAGCUUUUUGCUCAUCUUGUCCCCAAGACUGCCGAGAACUUUCGUGCCCUCUGCACAGGUACCCUUUUAACUUUCUUUGUGUGGUAUUCAUGUCAACUUGACAAGAUAAUAAUGGGCUUCUCUCUCAGGUGAGGCAGGCCUUGGCAAGACCACUAGCAAGCCUCUACAUUUCAAAGGAUCAUCUUUCCAUCGAGUCAUCAAAGGAUUCAUGGCCCAAGUAUCUAUCCCUUCUACUUAUUCAUUUUCUUCUAUGCUUCUCAUGGACAAACCAAUUCAUUACCGCUUCUCUUUCCUUCCUCUUUUUGCAGGGUGGUGAUUUUUCUAAUGGAAAUGGUAUUCUUCUAACCUCUUAUCCUCUAAUCAUAUUAUAUAUAAGAUCCUAUGUAUAUUUUUAUGUUGUCUGUACCUCACGGCCGUAGAGGCAGUCUAGUUACUAGUUAGCCACAACACACGUUUAAGGAACUGACACAAAGGAGCUAAUUUUACAUAUGAUGAAAAUGGCACUUUAGAAGGGUGUAUGGGUUUUUUUUUUGAUUCAUUACACUUAGAAUAAAUGAUUUUGAAGGACUUUGGUUGGUUUUCAGGCACCGGCGGUGAGAGCAUCUAUGGUGGGAAGUUUCCAGGUACUACUUUUUUUUAUAACCUCUAUAUUCACCUUUCUUGAGUUGGUAAAAAAUCCUCAAUAUAUUCUGUUACCUCUACAGAUGAGAACUUUGAACUGGACCAUGAAGAAGGUGGAGUCCUUUCGAUGGCAAAUUGUGGCCCAAACACCAACGGGUCACAGUUUUUUAUCCUUUUCAAACGCCAGCCUCAUCUCGAUGGGUAAUGCAUGUUCCAUAGAUAUGGUUAUUUCUUAGAAAUUAAACUCAUUGUAAAAAACAGUUUGAAAUGUUCUGUUUUUUUUCCCCCUGGAAUCAUAUUGUAGGAAGCAUGUUGUAUUUGGGAAAGUCGUUAAGGGAAUGGAAGUUGUCAAGAAAAUGGAGCUCGUAGGGACGAGUGAUGGUAAACCAACCAGCAAUGUCAAAAUAAUUGACUGUGGCGAAGUGUCUCAGUUAAAAGGCGAGGAUGCUGCUGAGAAAGAUAAAGGUAGUGAAGUUAAUUUUUGAUUGUGGAAUGGCUAUGUUUAUGAUUCUUCGGUGAUUUCCAGGGAAAUUGAAAAAAUCUAGCAAAGACUCACGGGAGAAGAGGACUAAGCGAAAAAGAAGAUACUCGUCUUCGUCAGAUUCAUACAGCUCAAGUUCUGAAUCAGAUUCUGAAUCAGAAACAGAUUCAUCCUCGUAUGAGUCUAGUUCUUCCAGUGAUGGGAAGCGUAGGAAGAGGAGGUCAACAAAGAGACACAAAGGCCGACGCGGGGAAAGAAAGAUCAAAGGACGAAAGGGGAAAAAGAAUGCUCGAGGAGAUAGACCACCUCAACGCAGGUCUGGCUAUUAGCUCAGUUAAUGGUAUUUAGUUUAGUCUUUGCCAGUUCUUCUGCGUGAUUCUUUAGUGUGUUUUUUUUUUUACAGAAACAAGGAUAGUUCAAGUGACACCGAGAGUAGCAAUUCUGAUGAUGAGAGAAUGGGCCACGAAAAGGCCAAAAAGUCAAAGAAAGCUAAAGGUAAGUGUAACUCUGUUAAGAAUCUUGGGUCUUUCAGCCUGUAUUUGGCAACUAGUUAUCGUAUGUGGAAGUGACAUUGAAUCUUGCUUUCUUCUUGGAACAGAUGGUGUGCCUGUAAGGAAUGCUGCUGAUUCUAGUCCUGCGGAGAAGAAAUUUUCGGGGGACAAACCAGAUUCUCUUCUGAAUGAAAAUGAACUUGUAGGAAAUGGAAAAGCCACCAAAGUUGAUAAUCAACGUGCGGACUCGGUGAAAUCAAGGUUAAUCCCCCUUACUUUACUUUACUUUGUGUUCUUCAGCUCUGCUUUUGCAUUUAUUUCCGUGUUCUGAUUUGUGGUCCCUGGCAAACUUUUUACCAUGUUCUAUUGCUAUAUAGGAGUAUGAGCCCAGUUUCUAGAAGAGGUCAAAACAGUAGGAGCAAAAGUCCUGCUAGUAGGAGCCCUGUGAGAGAUGUUGGAAAUAGGAGCACAAGUCCUCGCGAGAGGAAAUCUUCAAAAAGCCCAUCUCCAAAUGGUGAGCCCAAGCGCAUCCGAAAGGGGCGUGGGUUCACAGAACGUUAUUCAUUUGCUCGGAAGUACCGUACACCAUCUCCUGAGCGUUCCCCUCCUCGGCGCUGGCCUGAGAGAAGAAGCUUUCAGGACAGGAACACGGACAGGUAACUUAAAUACAUACUGAAAACAAUGAAAGUUGAGACUGUAAGUAAAUAAAUACUAAAGCCUUGUUUUUGUUUAAAUUUGUGGAGGUAUCCAAGCAACAGGAGUUACUCUGAACGCUCGCCUAGACGACGCUUUAGGAGCCCACCCAGGAGAAGGAGCCCUCCAAGGUUGGCUUUCUUUUAUCUCUUUAUGAAGAAGAUUAAACUCCUAAGACAGUCGCUUUACAUAAACUUGUCUGUCGUGCUGCAUAGGUACAACCGGAGGAGAAGAAGCAUUUCACGGAGUCCAGAUGGGCAGCGCAGAGGUUUGAGAGAGAGCCAAAGUCCAAGUCAUCGUAGCCCCAGAAAGAGGCAGCCAAUUAGCCAAGACCUUAAAUCCCGUCUGGGGCCACAAAGGUCUCCUGCAGAAUCGCUCAGCGCUUCGCCCUCAACCUCCCCAUCGGGACAGAGAGGUUUGGUUAGCUAUGCAGAUUGAUCACUCAUCCCUCCAUUUGCAUGCUGCCUGCCUGCUCUGAUGACUUGCGAGUUUUGUUGUUGUUGUCAUAUGAUACUCGUCACAUUUGGCUGUUGUUGCUUUUCAGAUUUUGUUGAAUAUUAAUCAAAUUUAAAGACUAGUUUUAUUUCAGAAUUAGAUUUUGGGGAUUUAAUAAUGUGCGAUAACACAAUUCUUUUGUUGUGGCUCAUCGACCUAUUGAGUAAUUUAAAUCUAUAAUAGAUUUGAGCUUUUAUUGGGCUCUCACACUAAUAAUCCUUAUGGACCAUUCGCCUAUUAAUCACAUAUUAUUUUGAGCUUAAAUUGGGCUUUAUUUAUAAGUGAAAACAAUUCUUUAGUUAUGGCCCAUGGUCCUAUUGUAAAGCUUAUAUUGGUCUUAAGAAUGUGUGAGUUAUAAAAAAGGCCUCCUUGACUUUUGGAGAAAAUAAAAUAAAAAGUGUACGGAAGAGGGGGUGAGAGUUUCUUUUCUGAGAGUGUCAGAUCUGAGAGCGAAGGAAGGAUGCGAGUGGGUGACAAUCGGUAAUAGAGAGCAUCAUAGAAGCCGCGUGACCUCAUAUCGAAUUGAGAUGGAGGAAGCUGCUUCUGUGGGCGAUGCACAUGCACGGGGGAAGCACAUGAUCCUUGCGGAGCUUGGUCGUGUGGAACAGGAAGUCAGAUUCUUGGAGGUGAGAGAUUCUUCUUCUUCUUUCUAUUCUAUUUUUAGCUGCCUAAUUCACACUUGCUCGAUGUUAUUAGGUUGUAGACUGUUUUCUAAGAACUGGCUCAUGUGUUCGAAAUCUAUUCUCCGUUGAUUUUUGCUUACCUCAUUCCUUCUUAUAUACUUGUGAUCAUAGUCCAGCUCCCCCUUUUCUCAUUCAUAUGAUGUGCUUUUCAAUCUUGGAUUGUAUGUGUGCACUCUUUUGUGUCUUCAUCUUUGAAUUUCCCCAGAAUUCGUUGCUAUUACUCUCCAGAAAAAGUUGGAAGAGCUCGGCCAGACAGAUAGUGUAUCAACCCAGUGUGAGGAGUAAGUGAGGGAAUCUCACCCUAUCUUUUCUUUAGUUAGUUUCCUGAAACUUGCGUGUCUACUGGUGUGAUCAACUUGUGUAUUGUCAUGACUCACAGGCUGCUUUGUGUCAUCGAGAAAUCACCUGACCCUCUCUUGCCACUGUGAGUUGCUUCCAACUCUUUUUGGUGUUUACAUUUUGGUUGCUGUCUGAUGCUGUGUGGUUUUGGCAGGACCAAGGGACCUUUGAACUUAGGAUGGGACCGGUGGUUUGAAGCACCAAAUGGGGGAGAACGCUGCAGAUGCUUUAUACUUUGAUUCAUGAUAGUAAAAUGUAGUAGUUACUAUAUAGGCUUGGCAUUUUUGGUGGUAAAAUAUCUUUAACAUGGGACCAAACUAUUAUCAAAAUGUGUGUGUUUCAACAUUGUGUGCAUCUUCCCUUACUAGUAAAAUCGUACAGGUUACGAUGAGCAUUGGAUUGUAUAUAAUGGUUUAGUUGCACGUAUGUAAACAGUAUAUGUUUAAUUUUGUCUGUAUGAGAUCCGAGCAAUGGUGUAUUAGCUUCUCAGGAGCAUUUUCUUUCUCUAACUGUAAUGUUUCAUGCAUAAAAUAUAUCUUCUCUCUUGUCAUUAGCCUUGUCAAUGUUGCUAUCACAGGUUUCUGGUGCGCUGGAUCACGUUCACAAUAUAUGACUUUUUUUUUUAUGUCAAAGAACAUAACACACAAAUGGUGCUAAUGUCUCGUUGUACAAUACCUGGGACGUUGGAAGUAUCUACAGUCUGAACAGUUGGUGGCGGAGCUGCAGGGGCAUGGGCUGCCUGCUGUGUUUGAGGACUUGCUGGUUGCACAGAACCUAUAACAGAUCUUGGAGCAACUCCUGGAGUUGACAUAGGUGUAAAUCCUAUGGGUCCAGCUCCUGGACCAACUACUUGGGGCAUCUUGGGGUUAGAAUAUUUCCUAAUUUGUGAAGGGACAGAGGAUGCAUAUGAACCAGGACCAGGAGGAACGGGGUAUGCAUUGUUAGAUUGUCCCUGAUCACAUAGCUGCUAGCUUAAUCAAACUAAAAAGUGCCAGAAAAUUCAAACACAGUUGAGUUGAUGAAUAACACACGGUGAAUGAAUGAGAAGCAAUGGUUGGCUGCUAAUAUUGGUAUGCGUUCUUCAGUGCAGGGGGAGUUGAUGGAACAAAAGUAGUUCUCAUGGAUGGCUGAGCAUUGCUUGCAGGUGCCGAAGGAUAUGAUGGCUGCAUAUACACAUGUUUGUCAAGAAAUUUUGGCCCAAAAAACCUAUACAUAACAAACAAAACAGUUCCCCACCACAAACUUUUCCUCGCGACCUCUAAGAUAUAGAUUUUACAGAACCAAACUGAAGCAAAGGUCUAACUUAUCCCAUUUUCCGGACAUGUCAUUAGAGGCUGAAAUUCGGUUGAGGAGUAUAUUUUUCGGGGUUUUUGGCAUUUGGCCACCACAUACAUAAUCCAGAUGAUGUCUUCCUAUCUCAAAAAAUUGACCAAUACCCUAUAAAAUAAACGGAAAAUCUUCUGAUCUAGACAUCUGAAAACUGCCUGAUAAUGAUGACCAUUUAUGCAUAUGAUGUUGUAACGAAGAAUGUGUAAAAGGAAAUGCAACAAAGCCAAAACUUCAGGAACCUGCGGUGCUGGCUGAGCUUGGUGAGGCAUAAACAUGGUUGCUUGUUGCAUUGGUGGAUGUGAAGCUGGGGGCACAUAUCCUCCAACAUAAGAAUCGGUGUAUGGUUGUUGAUAGUGAUUAUCAUAUGGGUUACUGUCUUACUGAUAAUGUUUGGUUGCGCAUGUGUUGGCUCAUAAGCCACAGAAGAAUACAUGCUAAGUAUGUUGUCCGUACAAGCUAUAUCCAGACUCUAGUUUAAAGACAGUUGCAGAGAAAAAAAGAAUGAGACCUGAUUAUAUGGUAUGGUGCUUUGAAGCUGAAUCUUGAUUGGCUAUUGAAAAAGUUUUUGUUUCCCUUUUAAGAAAUCAAGUUUUUAUGAAUCUUGAUUGGCUAAUAAAAUGCCUUUUUUUUAAACACUUGCGGGAUUUUAUUAUGACAUAGAAAUUGUAAAGUCGUAGUGUAAUACAUAAUUAAGAAAGCAAGGAACAUAGUUAUAAUAUAAAUAGGACACAUCUCCAUGAAUCUCCCGCUUCGCUAAUUUAUCUGCCACCUGAUUUGAGUUUCUGUUUGUCCAUAUAAAUUGCAUUAUUCCAGUUUUCUACUCUACUAUAUAAUUUCUCGUGUCCAAUUAUAUCCAUCAAAAUGAAGAACUUGACGAUUGAGGAUGUCAAUUGCUUUUCUACAGUCACUUUCAUGUAACUUCUACUCCAAGCAUGUUGAAGAGCCAUAAGAAUUGCUUGUAACUCACUUUCAAGGACAUUCUGAACUUUUUUUCCUACUGCCUGCACUGUUCCUUGAUAGCUUCCAAAAGAGUCCCUGAUAAUAAAACCCACUUUACUUGCUUGAUCCACAUUAAUAAAAAAUCUAUCAACAUUAUACUUUAUCCAUUCAUCUGGUGGUCUUCUCCAUUUGUUAAGGCGACUGUCAUUUUGAGUGCUAGGAAUCCUUCUUUGUUCUGCUUCAAGAGUUUGAUUACUAUUCCAUCAUUCUCUAACAUCCGUAUAAUCAAAGCUGAUAAAAUGCUUUAUGAAAAACAAAAUCUUUGUUAAGAAAAAAGAAAAAAAAUGAAAAUCAUUCGAAAAAGUAAAAAAAAACCAGUACCUAAAUUUGGAGGAAGAAAAUGAAUAUAGUUGCGGAUUUAUAUUUAAAUGUGUUUAAAAUGUCUUUUGAAAAUAAAGAAAGAAGAAAUUGCUAGUUUAAAAAAAGAGAAGAAAAAAAGAAAUUGCAAUCUGCAUCGAUGGUCAAGAAUAUGACAGGUGUCGAGUACUAAGUAAGCUGUAUUGUAACAGUGGUGCACUAGCAUGCAGAAUAUAAUAGCUUAGAUUGCUAUCAUUAUCCCCUUUGUGGAUUAGGUAGUGCUCUCACUUCGCCUUCUCUACACAAACAAAACUGGUUCGCUAAGAGCUCCGACAAUGGCUGUCUGCGCAACUCACUCCUCUCUCAUGAUAGCAUACGCCGCAUCCAAGGACCUUACAAUUCCGUCUCUUUUCUCAUCUGCCAACCCAAGACCCAACAAGUUGAGCGUCGCACUCUAUCCCCCUCUUGUUCUCCUUGCGGGGAGAAGAGCUUCGAACCCAUCCUUCCCGGUGGUUGUCUCAGCCGUAGCCGCAGAGGCUGAUGUCGACACGGAGGACGCGGAGCAGAACGAAGCCACCUCCACCACCGCCACAGCCGUCCUCGAUCCGCCAAAGCCUAAGAAAGGAAAAGCAGCUUUGCUUCUCAAGAGAGAUAGA